UGGUGGAUGAUUUGACGGGUCGCGAUUACUUCGAGAGCCAACUCUAAAUGGUCCUGAACAUGCAUAUAUAUUUGCCACAUGACGUUAAACAACUAACAAUCCUCAUUAAUCAAAACCUAUCAUGUUGAACGCAUCUAUGAUGUAUCAUAUCUUAGGUGAAAUAAAGGAUAGAACUUUUACAACAAAGUCUGAUCUAUAACUUGGCUUAAAUCUAGAAAUCGUUUGUGAGGGUCGAUUAAAAAAGAAAGAUUCCCUAUUUUGAACUUUCCAUUUCUAAAUGUAUGUAGCAACAUUCCUGUAGCGCUUGUUUAUGGAGUGUAUAUCUUCAACUUGAUACGAUAUUCCUGAGCUUGUAUUUCUUAUCAUAAUAUGUUCUGGAAAGAUUAUUCCUGCUAGCAAGAAGCUAAACAAAGAGUUCCAACCGGUGAUGUUGAAAUAAUCACCUUCAACAAUUUACGGACGCCAUAACGACUUGGUUGACCAUUAAUGAAUAUCUGUUUCACGAUGACAACCGAUACGUCUCAAUUGUCGCAACCAUAAUCCUGUUUUCUUUUCCUUGAAUGUAACCUAUCGUAUAAGUUGAGCAACACGACUGAUGCCACAUGUGUAGCAGGAUCUGCGUACCUUUCCGAAGCACUUGUGAUCACCGCAGGUUUUAGGUGGGAUUCGUAUUUUUUGUUUUCAGUUAGGAGAAUUGUAUACUGCUGUUUGUCUAUUGUUCGUUUUUCUGGUUUUGUCAUUGUGUUGUCAGUUUGUUUUCGAUUAUAUUAAUGUGUUAGAGUGCAAGUACCCUCUCUAAAAUCAAAAAUCUUUUUAAUUUAAAAAUAUAACAUUUUAAAUGACGCCAAGUCAUCUUAAAUGGCCGUAUAGUUAUGAUCACAGCUAUCAAAUAUUUACAAAGUUUGAAUUAUU
RNAcentral lists this long non-coding RNA (912 nucleotides) under Mytilus galloprovincialis (Mediterranean mussel). Lineage: Eukaryota; Metazoa; Mollusca; Bivalvia; Mytilida; Mytilidae. The record is from RNAcentral.